Molecule: unclassified non-coding RNA, 327 nt
Filed under: Hevea brasiliensis (rubber tree)
Lineage: Eukaryota; Viridiplantae; Streptophyta; Magnoliopsida; Malpighiales; Euphorbiaceae
Source: RNAcentral
GAAAAAGCAAUAGAAGUUGGGGCAGAUAGUAGUCAGUUCCCCAAUAAUUGGAUUUUUCAUUCCCGAGAAAAGAAGCCUGGGAAGGCUUUUGUUGAUGGUUUGGCUCCUAACGUACAGGAUAUCUCAUAUUUUCUUCUCUCUUCCUCUCUAUGCACAUACAUAUUACAUUUUGUUUUAAGAGUGGUAAAUAUUUAAUUGUUAUCUAACAUUGUAUCUUAACUCACCAUUCUUUCUGUUUUUGCUUCUUAAACACUUUGGAUUGAAUUGUGUACAAAUAUUGAUGAGUUUUUUCGGUUAUGGAAAGGAAGAAAAUUGAUUUUAUCACUG